CCUACGGGAGGCAGCAGUAAGGAAUAUUGGUCAAUGGAGGCAACUCUGAACCAGCCAUGCCGCGUGCAGGAUGAAGGCCCUAUGGGUCGUAAACUGCUUUUACACAAGAGAAAACCCGAGUACGUGUACUCGGUUGAUAGUAUUGUGAGAAUAAGCAUCGGCUAACUUCGUGCCAGCAGCCGCGGUAAGACGAAGGAUGCAAGCGUUAUCCGGAUUCAUUGGGUUUAAAGGGUGCGUAGGCGGACCUGUAAGUCAGUGGUGAAAUCUCUUUGCUUAACAAAGAAACUGCCAUUGAUACUGCAAGUCUAGAGUAUAGAUGACGUUGGCGGAAUAUGACAUGUAGUGGUGAAAUACUUAGAUAUGUCAUAGAACACCGAUUGCGAAGGCAGCUAACGAAACUAUAACUGACGCUGAGGCACGAAAGUGCGGGGAUCAAACAGGAUUAGAUACCCUGGUAGUCCGCACCGUAAACGAUGAUUACUCGUUGUUGGCAAUAUGACCGUCAGCGACCAAGCGAAAGCGAUAAGAAUCCACCUGGGGAGUACGCCGGCAACGGUGAAACUCAAANAGAGUAGAGNGNGAGAGNGCGAGGACGACGACGAGGGAGGAGG
Molecule: ribosomal RNA, 611 nt
Filed under: uncultured bacterium
Lineage: Bacteria
Description: bacterial SSU rRNA
Rfam family: Bacterial small subunit ribosomal RNA
Source: RNAcentral